RNAcentral lists this unclassified non-coding RNA (376 nucleotides) under uncultured bacterium. Its description in RNAcentral is "contains 16S-23S intergenic spacer region". The record is from RNAcentral.
UCCGAUUUGUCACCGGCAGUCUCCUAUGAGUCCCCGACAUAACUCGCUGGCAACAUAGGACAGGGGUUGCGCUCGUUGCGGCACUUAAGCCAACACCUUACGGCACGAGCUGACGACAGCCAUGCAGCACCUGUGCUGGCCCCUUACGGACACGGGCUUUCACCCGCUUUAACCAGCAUGUCAAGCCCAGGUAAGGUUCUUCGCGUCGCAUCGAAUUGAACCACACGCUCCGCUGCUUGUGCGGGCCCCCGUCAAUUCCUUUGAGUUUUAGCCUUGCGGCCGUACUCCCCAGGCGGGGCACUCAUUGCGUUCGCGUCGGCGCGGGAGGGGUCGAUACCCCCCACACCUAGUUGCCACCGUUUAGGGCGUGGACUAC